RNAcentral lists this ribosomal RNA (470 nucleotides) under uncultured bacterium. Its description in RNAcentral is "bacterial SSU rRNA". It matches the Rfam family "Bacterial small subunit ribosomal RNA", at positions 28 to 526 of the family's 1533-position model. The record is from RNAcentral.
GACGAACGCUGGCGGCGUGCCUAAUACAUGCAAGUCGAGCGGGGAGCUUCGGCUCCUAGCGGCGAACGGGUGAGUAACACGUGGGCAACCUACCCUCAAGACUGGGAUAACACCGGGAAACCGGUGCUAAUACCAGAUAAUCUCAAGUCCCGCAUGAGAUUCGAGUAAAAGAACUUCACUUGAGGAUGGGCCCGCGGCGCAUUAGCUUGUUGGUGGGGUAACGGCCCACCAAGGCGACGAUGCGUAGCCGACCUGAGAGGGUGACCGGCCACACUGGGACUGAGACACGGCCCAGACUCCUACGGGAGGCAGCAGUAGGGAAUUUUCCGCAAUGGGCGAAAGCCUGACGGAGCAACGCCGCGUGAAUGAGGACGGCCUUCGGGUUGUAAAAUUCUGUUCUUGGGGAAGAAUUCUGACGGUACCCAAGGAGAAAGCCCCGGCUAACUACGUGCCAGCCGCCGCCGUAAGAC